This is a non-coding RNA of Elusimicrobia bacterium GWA2_69_24, 71 nucleotides long. The record is from Rfam. NCBI's taxonomy places the organism in Bacteria, Pseudomonadati, Elusimicrobiota.
GCCCCUGUAGCUCAGUGGCAGAGCAGCAGUUUUGUAAACUGCCUACCUCGGUUCGAUUCCGGGCAGGGGCU